GCUCCAGUGGCACAAUCGGUUAGCGCGCCGUACUUAUAGACAGUACCUUCCCCACGAUGGCCGUGGGAUAAGUAAUGCGGAGGUUGUGAGUUCGAUCCUCACCUGGAGCA
Biomphalaria glabrata is the source of this 110-nucleotide non-coding RNA. NCBI's taxonomy places the organism in Eukaryota, Metazoa, Mollusca, Gastropoda, Planorbidae. The record is from Rfam.